Non-coding RNA from Myodes glareolus (Bank vole), 805 nucleotides. Lineage: Eukaryota; Metazoa; Chordata; Mammalia; Rodentia; Cricetidae. The record is from RefSeq and is a predicted model, not a curated record.
GAUACUCAAUUUUGCAGAACCUCAUCUGUCGAAGAGGACUACAGGUCUAAUCACUCCUUCACAUUGCUGUUAAGUAAUACAUGUGUUUUGAAGAUAAAACAUGCCUUCUACAGAAGUCGCAAACACUGCACCCCUGCUUCCGGCAGACACAAAGUGUUAGUGCUGGUUUAGAAGAGCCAUUCAUUCUUUCGGCUGCUUCCAGAACGACAUGGCACGGCACUAACAAAGACUUGGUUACAGGCGAGCACAGGAGCGGCAUGCUCAGAUGAGUUUGCUGGCCAGCAUGGAUUUCUUUGUCUUUUAAUGAGUCAAAUGUUUUAAAAUUUGACGAAAUCUACGAGAGUUUCCGCUCUGAGACAGGCGUGAUUAUCCAGCUCAAGCUGCUGUCAGCCCUGCAUCCGUUCUCUUCUCAGCUUCCGAGUUCUGGGGUUGCAGGCAUGUGCCACUACACUCAGGAUAACUACCGAGGCACACACGCGCGAAGAAGCCCUGGGACCCCAGCAGUGUAUACUCAGUAUGUUAAAGGGACACGGGAGGACAUGGGAUCACAAACUUUGUGAACCAGCUGCUUAGUUCCGGCAGGGUGAACUGUGACUGCGGCAGAGUGUGCCUAGUCCUGCCCACCACUCAACCACCUCCAUCCUCCACCCUGUUCAAGAACUACCUGACAUUUCUUUGAUUAAAUUAUUUGAUAAAUUAAAUCCCCUGCAAAUUAUACCUCACAUAAUGAAUAUGGAGAACAUGUUUUCAUGAAAGAACAAUCUUUUGCAUACAUAUUUCAGUUGUUUUUAUCUCGCCACAUGGU